Molecule: transfer RNA, 91 nt
Filed under: Candidatus Omnitrophota bacterium
Lineage: Bacteria; Pseudomonadati; Candidatus Omnitrophota
Description: Candidatus Omnitrophica bacterium tRNA-Ser
Rfam family: tRNA
About the family: Transfer RNA (tRNA) molecules are approximately 80 nucleotides in length. Their secondary structure includes four short double-helical elements and three loops (D, anti-codon, and T loops).
Source: RNAcentral
GGAGAGGUGGCCGAGCGGCUUAAGGCGACGGUUUGCUAAACCGUUGUACGGGUGAAUGCCUGUACCCAGGGUUCAAAUCCCUGCCUCUCCG